This is a long non-coding RNA of Diceros bicornis minor, 478 nucleotides long. RefSeq lists it as uncharacterized. NCBI's taxonomy places the organism in Eukaryota, Metazoa, Chordata, Mammalia, Perissodactyla, Rhinocerotidae. The record is from RefSeq and is a predicted model, not a curated record. The transcript has 4 exons.
UGGAACCUCAGCAACCCGGAGCCCACAUCCUCGGAGUACGCCGCCCUGCUGAGGGACACCCAGGACCAGUAACCACACUGGAGUGGACUCCCUGUGUACCUUGCCGCCUUGGCACAGAGACUGGACAGAGUUGCCAUCUAUGAGGAAUUCCUGUGGCUGACCCAGAAUGGUACCCAGCUGCAGAACUUGACCCUGGACAGGAAGAGUGUCCUUGGGGAUGAAUAUUCUGCCAACAGAGAUGACACCUCGACUGAGAAGCCUAACCUCCCCUUCUGGGCCCUCAUCCUCAUCUGCUUGGCGGGAAUCCUGGUGCUCAUCACAGGCCUGAUCUGCUGUCUGCUGGUAAGCCAUGACGUGUUGAUUGUCUUCUUACUAUUGGGUUGUAAGAGCUCUUUAUAUAUUAUAAGUACACGUCCUUUUCUAGGGAUAUGUUUUGCAGAUGUUUUCUCCCAGUCUGUGUGUGGCUUGCCUUCUCCUU